This 28-nucleotide small RNA is filed under the name Bombyx mori (domestic silkworm). RNAcentral's name for it is "ovarian small RNA-27158". Lineage: Eukaryota; Metazoa; Arthropoda; Insecta; Lepidoptera; Bombycidae. The record is from RNAcentral.
UCCCAGCAACUGGGGUUACUGGAUCCGA